AGAGUUUGAUCAUGGCUCAGAACGAACGCUGGCGGCGCGCCUAAUACAUGCAAGUCGAGCGAGAAGGUGUAGCAAUACACUUGUAAAGCGGCGAACGGGUGAGGAAUACAUGGGUAAUCUACCAUCGAGUGGGGAAUAACCAGCCGAAAGGUUGGCUAAUACCGCGUACGCCUCCGGAUCUUCGGGUUCGGAGGGAAAGCCACACUGUGAGUGCGGCGCUCUUUGAUGAGCUCAUGUCCUAUCAGCUUGUUGGUAGGGUAACGGCCUACCAAGGCUUUGACGGGUAGCUGGUCUGAGAGGACGAUCAGCCACACUGGCACUGCGACACGGGCCAGACUCCUACGGGAGGCAGCAGUAAGGAAUAUUGCGCAAUGGGCGAAAGCCUGACGCAGCGACGCCGCGUGGGGGAUGAAGGUCUUCGGAUUGUAAACCCCUUUCGGGAGGGAAGAUGGAGCGAGCAAUCGUUCGGACGGUACCUCCAGAAGCAGCCACGGCCAACUUCGUGCCAGCAGCCGCGGUAAU
Molecule: ribosomal RNA, 522 nt
Filed under: uncultured bacterium
Lineage: Bacteria
Description: bacterial SSU rRNA
Rfam family: Bacterial small subunit ribosomal RNA
Source: RNAcentral